GGAGGGUCUCUGGCAUCUAAGCCGGAGCGUGCGGACGUUGAAAGUGAGGCAGACGCCCCGUAAGCCGGUCGCCGCGCGGAAAGAGGCCGGGACUCGUCGGUCGCCGCGGGCUUGUGGAGGCCCACGGCGGCGUCGACAGCGCUCUGGACAUGGAGCCUCCGCCCGCGAGCAGCCAAGACGACGCCGCUUACCGCGGCCCAGGCGUCGAGGAGCUCCGAGGAGAACGGCCUGAUACGAAGCCUGUGGUGAUCUCAGUAACCACAGGAGACGUCGAGAAGGAUCUCGAGUCCGAGCCUGAGCUGGGGGCAGAGGCAGCCGCAGAAGAAAGCCACGGUGGCGCGGGAGCUCCCGGCCCCGUGGACGACGAAAACCAGAGGGGGGGCGGCGGCGACGGCGGCGGCGACGAGGAGGAGGAGGAGGAGCCCCCGCAGCAGCAGGACGAGGCCUCCGCAGCCGCCGAGGGGCCGCAGCCCCAGGACCCGCAGCAGCGCCUCCUCCGCGGCUUGUUCACCCGGUUGGAGCUGAAGGAGCUGGAGAGCGUUUUCCAACGCGCUCAAUACCCUGACGUGUUCGCGCGAAAGGAUCUUACAAUAUGCGUGGAUGUGUCAGAGACCAGUAAACCUGAAAAAAGCAAUUUGCCUGGGGAGCAAUCGUAAAACCUGCUUCACGUCUGAUGCUUCUGUUCUACACAUUCCCAACUUGUUUUGGUUGUCUUUUCCAUGUUUGGAAAAUAAGUUUUGAAGUUUAGGGCUUUGGUGAGUGGAAAAUGGGAUAAGUAAACCCUACUUUAUGGAAAUUGCCCAUUACCAGGAUUUUGAUUUCUUGAAGGAAAACGAUAAAAGAGAACCUGCUUCUCCUAUUUCCUGUGCAAAAUUAAAU
Molecule: long non-coding RNA, 879 nt
Filed under: Canis lupus dingo (dingo)
Lineage: Eukaryota; Metazoa; Chordata; Mammalia; Carnivora; Canidae
Description: lncRNA (ENSCAFG00020003991.1)
Source: RNAcentral